CAUAUUCAGUAUUGACAACUACAAGAUUAGUUUUUAAAGAAUCCUGACAACUACAGUUAGAUGUUUGUGUAUUAUUACACACCUAUAUAGUAUGUAAUUGGUGGUACCCUUCAUGCUGGCACAUAUAUAAAGGGUUCUCUUCUUAAGGAUUUUGACUAUUGAAUCAGCUUAUUUGCACUGACAAAUAUGACGGAACACAUAUAUUGAACAACUAAACAAAAACCGACAAACCUUAAGUUUUUACAGUUUACUAGAAUUCUGUAUGCAGUAUACAACAUGUGAAACAGA
Molecule: long non-coding RNA, 288 nt
Filed under: Mytilus galloprovincialis (Mediterranean mussel)
Lineage: Eukaryota; Metazoa; Mollusca; Bivalvia; Mytilida; Mytilidae
Source: RNAcentral